This 253-nucleotide ribosomal RNA is filed under the name uncultured bacterium. Its description in RNAcentral is "partial 16S ribosomal RNA". It matches the Rfam family "Bacterial small subunit ribosomal RNA", at positions 524 to 776 of the family's 1533-position model. The record is from RNAcentral.
UACGUAGGGCGCGAGCGUUGUCCGGAAUUAUUGGGCGUAAAGAGCUCGUAGGUGGCUUGUUGCGUCUGCCGUGAAAGCCCGUGGCUUAACUACGGGUCUGCGGUGGAUACGGGCAGGCUAGAGGCUGGUAGGGGCAAGCGGAAUUCCUGGUGUAGCGGUGAAAUGCGCAGAUAUCGGGAAGAACACCCGUGGCGAAGGCGGCUCUCUGGGACGGGACUGACGCUGAGACGCGAAAGCGUGGGGAGCGAACAGG